UUUGAUCGACCCCAGCCACAGCGGCUGCUUCCCGGGCUCGCGGCGCCCCUGCCCGUAGGUCGCCAGCAACGCUUGCGCCUC
RNAcentral lists this antisense RNA (81 nucleotides) under Mycobacterium shigaense. RNAcentral describes it as "ASpks TB sRNA". It matches the Rfam family "ASpks TB sRNA". The record is from RNAcentral. Lineage: Bacteria; Bacillati; Actinomycetota; Actinomycetes; Mycobacteriales; Mycobacteriaceae.